This is a long non-coding RNA of Astatotilapia calliptera (eastern happy), 2747 nucleotides long. Lineage: Eukaryota; Metazoa; Chordata; Actinopteri; Cichliformes; Cichlidae. The record is from Ensembl.
CUCAGCCUCGCCAUUCUAACUUUGCCUCGAAAUAUCUCAACCUGAGCUGUCCCUCUGAUGGACUCAUUUCUAAUCCUAUCCAUCAUGCUCACUCCCGCCUCUUACCUUCCCUUUCCUUCUUGCUGCUAUCCUUUAGCCAUCUCCACCCACUCCACCCUGCCUACGUUCCCUUAUUCACGUCUCUUGUGCACUGUCUGUUGCUUUGGAUUAUCUCAGGCUUUUAAACGUAUUCAAAUUAUUCACUACCUGUGCUCUUUGCUGGUACAUCUGUCUCCCUCUCAUGUAUUCUGUCUUGCUUCUACGGACCUUCAACUAGUUUUAUUCACUCAAACACAGGGCGAGGGAGUGAGCGUGGUAAGCUGUGAACAGAGGGAGAGUGUGGUUAGAGAUGAUGCAGGGGGAGCUAGACUGGAGAGGUGAUAUUGGAGUCUUACUUGGCAGGUGAAGCGUAAAAGGCUCUGGGGCAGGUGAAUAGCCAGGUGAGCUCCUAGAGUGCUGAGCAAGUGAGAAGAUUCCAUCCUUGUUUUUCCAGAGAUCCACAAGAGACGGUGUCAGGAGGACAUGCAGGUGGAAAUGGUGAAUGGUGUGAACCUGAGAGGUGAAGAAUCAGCAACAAAACCAGAGCCCUGCUGUGGACACCAGCAUUCAGAGGAUCUUGAGCUGCAGUCCAUUGAAGUCUGCUCCAAUCAUCACUGACCACUCCCCCUUAGAAUAUAUAGGCUUGUGGGCCCUCCAUGGCUGGGAAUAUCGGGAAAAACACUUGGAACACACAGCGCAACACAACAAGGAACACAUCCAAACAGAGGCUUUUAAGAUACAGCAUGACCUAAACAGGGAAAUGAGACAAAAGCAUUAAAUAGGGAGUGCUGAGGGAACAGAAUAAAAAUGCAACUGCAAUAGGAAACAACAUACAAAACUCAAACAAUAAACUAGAGAACUUCUGGGAAAGUAUAAAAAAGCAAGGAAUACAAACAGCCUCAUAUAUAAAAAAGUUUUCAGUUUCAUUCAACUUUAUUUACACAGCGCCAAAUCACAACAACAGUCGCUUCAAGGUGCUUUAUAUUGUACAGUAAACCCUACAAUAACACAUACUGAGAAAAACCCAACAAUCAUAUGACCCCCUAUGAGCAGCACUUUGGCAACAGUGGGAAGGAAAAACUCCCUUUUAACAGGAAGAAACCUCCAGCAGAACCAGGCUCAGGGAGGGGCGGGGCCAUCUGCUGUGAUUGGUUGGGGUGAGAGAAGGAAGACAGGAUAAAGACAUGCUGUGGAAGAGAGACAGAGGUUAAUAACGGAUAUGAUUCAAUGCAGAGAGGUCUAUUAAUACAUAGUGAGUGAGAAAGGUGACUGGAAAGGAAAAACUCAAUGCAUCAUGGGAAUCCUCGGCAGCCUACGUCUAUUGCAGCAUAACUAAGGGAGGAUUCAGGGUCACCUGGUCCAGCCCUAACUAUAUGCUUUAGCAAAAAGGAAAGUUUGAAGCCUAAUCUUAAAAGCAGAAAAGAGCUGAGGAAAGCCCCAGGCCCCGCCAAGCAGCCCCCGGGAGUGAGCCAGUACAAACCCGAACAUCCAGCCCUGGACACCGAGAACCAUCAAUGCACCAACGGUCCCUGUCAGGAAGACAGGAACAAAGCAGUCUUACAUAUUUGUUUAAUAUGUGCGUUGAAGGACAUGUCCUGGUCAACAAUGACUCCAAGGUUCCUCACAGCGUUACUGGAGGCCAAGACAGAAGGAAGAAAUCUUGGAACCAAAGACAAAACUUCCCACACGUUUUAAAGAGCCAGCAGGUAGAAUGGGAGCAGAGCAGGAGCAUCCUUAUAAUAAGAAAGUACCAGUGACCAAGUCUAUGAAAUGACAAAGCAGAACAUCCAUACAUCUUUUAAUGGUAAAUGGACUGACUCUUAUGCAGCACCUUUCUACUCUCCAGGAGAAAUCAAAGUGCUUUACACAACAAGCCUCGCUCAUACAAGCACGCUGCACGCUGAUCAGGUGUGAAAGCUGCGCUCUCUCUGGGAUUUUACUCACCAUGGGGCUUUUUGGACGCUUCAUCAAUGUUUCUUUUUUGUUACAAUGUCUUAUAUUUUAGAGUGAUUUCAUUAAAUGUUGCCAUUGUUGUGCUUUAAGUUGUAAGCCUUGUCCUAAACAGCAUGAUCGAAGACAUUCCCUUGUUUCUGUUCCCCUCCCCAGCAUGUCAGAUGGUAUAGUGAUGUUUAACUUCCUGCCCUUUAUGACCUCAACUGUGCUACUCGUUCUUGAGUGAGUGUCUGUUUAUCCAGCAGUUUCAGGAAUAUCUCUCUGACAUUAAACUGCACUGACCAUGUCUCCCAGUACGAGUCUUUAACAGAGUAAUGAAUGACUUUGCCUUUGUAGGUUUGAUGUGGCACAAUAGAGCUUCUAAUUUUCAGUAAAUUCUCUGUAGAAAUAACUUUGGAACUGUUAUUAGGAUAGUAUGCAACUAUAAAAAUGGACAGUAGACACACGUAUUUGAUGGGCUGUCAGUUUAAGAAAAUGACAGUAAAAGAAGAAUUUAGAAAGAUGUUGCAGCUAACUGCACUUUGUGCAAGAGGAAGAAGAGGGAACCCAAAGUUACCUCUAAAUCUGCGCUGUCAUCAACAGAAACCUGACUUUUCAGGUUAAACCUCUGGGGUCCAGGGUACCAUUGGCCACUUUUCACUACUUUGUAUUUCACCUUUAAAUUUUCUUCUCGUGCCUUCUGUGGCAUCAUUCUUUUCAGCACAAUCUCACGUCUG